Long non-coding RNA from Triticum dicoccoides, 1750 nucleotides. RefSeq lists it as uncharacterized. The record is from RefSeq and is a predicted model, not a curated record. The transcript has 8 exons. Lineage: Eukaryota; Viridiplantae; Streptophyta; Magnoliopsida; Poales; Poaceae.
CUAGCACCAUCCACGGCGCGGUGAAAAAUAUCCCCUUUCUUCUCCGCCGUCAAUUUUCCUCGUCUCUCCCUCCACCAUGCGCCUCAACUCCGCCGCCACCUCUCCUCGGAUGUCCGCCCACGGUCUGCCCAGAGGGACAGAGGGGGCCACCAAGCGACGGCAGAGCGGGUUCAUAGAGACGGAGAGGGUGAGUCCAUGGCCAGACGAGGGAGGAAGACAGAUGGCGGGGUGGAUCGGGUGCCCUAGGCCUAUGCUGUCGGCCUCCUCAUGCUGCUCACCAUCUCCGUCGCCGUCCUCAUCGCCAUCUGCCACUCCUCCUCCCCCCUGCCCAGGCCGCGGGAAGAAGCCGAGAAGGGAGGCCGACCGGCGGCAGCCACGCUCGACAACAUCCUCGCCUUCGCAUCAAGGGAGAGGAAGUCGCCUCUGCGUCCCUCAUCUGUGAGUUUCUUUUCGGGCCACCGACUCCACGGAGCUUGUCAAGAUGGUUGUUACGCAGAUGGUUGUUGUUGUGCUCUUUGUUCGUGUUCGUGCUUGUGUAGCUCCCACUCUGCUGCAGGAGGAUUGGGUUGGAUUGGUUUCCACUUGCCCUGUUCUCUGUUUGAGAACCUGAGAUGCAGCCCUCCAAAUCUUGGGCCCCAGGAAAGGGAGAUUUGUUUUGCUUCUACUCUACAUUCACUGUUGUUAUCUUCACUUUGCCACUCAUGGACGCUUCUUUGUUUCUUUUUUAUGCAUGUGUGGUCUGGGUGACAGGAGAACAAGUUCCUCAAGUUAAUGUGGAAUCCAUUCUCAACUUGUUACCACAGGGGAAUCAAAUUGACAACACAUAUUCUAUAGGUGUUCCUAAUAGCAACAGUGGUAAUCAACAACGAGAAAAAAAAAGUGUGGGGCUGGAUUUGUACUAGCUUGUGCAGUCUUUGCCAAUCUAUAAGCGUUAUUUCGCUGGUUAAAAUAUUUUAAAGGAUGAGCAGUACAGUGGAGGGGAUUGUGUGGCAGUCCAAGGAAGUCUCUAGGAGAAUGCAGUUUUCCGGGUCCAGCUUUUUAACCCUGGACUUUCCGUGGAAGGAUACGUACAUCUGCCUUAUUCGAUAACCAAAACUGGAUGCUCUACCAAGCACCUGUCCAGCCCUGUGUGAGCUACACUUCAAUUUGUAUUCUCAGCAAACCAAAAGAAAUGAUGCUGACAUUCCGGUCAGAUGAAGUGAUUUGUUCAAGCCACAACAAUAAAGAGAAGUCAUCUAUCUUUGGCACCAGAUGGAAUAUGUGGUGAGCUAUCUCAAAAAAGUCCGAAGCCAUUCAUCUUUGGGACCAAGCUGUAUGCACGUAACUGGGCUCUCCAUGGGCAGCAGAUGGAAUAUGUGGCGAGCUAUCUCAAAAAAGUCCGAAGCCAUUCAUCUUUGGGACCAAGCUGUAUGCACGUAGCUGGGCUCUCCAUGGGCAGCAUGGCGCUGGUGAACACCAACAAAGCCUUUGACGCUCUCCUAAAUUAUGAGAACUGUUCCUUCAGAUGCAUGCCAAAACAUCUUCGUCUCACUAUUCACUCCCUGGAGACAUCGUCAUUAAUCUGUAUUGUCACCUAUAGCUUGUAUGGCAAACUUCAUGUUCAUAAUGUUUUUGUGCCAUGUGUGAUGCGCUCAGCAGUUGGUUAUAUUCCCUUGUGGAUUAUUGUUUCCUAUAAAGAGUGGAUCAUCCAUCUAAACUACUAUACAAGUAUCAAUGCAGAUGACCUUAAUUAUCUUUCUUUCUCUUUCAA